UCCAAGUGGCACUCCGUUCCCAUCGAGCAUGACGACUCUUCCUGCAGGUGGUGCCUUUAUUUGAGCUCUCUCACUUUUCUUUGCUGCAGAAAUUUUCUUCCUACCCUUUGUUUCAGAGUACAGAGGCAGUUUCAUCGUCUCUUGCUGCCGAUGCUGCAUUAGUUGGUCAACACCCUGCUUGGAUUGGUUGGCUUGAGCAGUGGCCUGGAGCAUUUCAGCUGCAUAAUAAUGAAGGUCAUCUUCAAUUUCAGCAUCCUCUUCAGCCAUCCUUUGGUCAGCAUCUGCUCGAUUUGCUGAAUGUAUUGCAUCAAGCUCUUCCACUAGCCUCUUGAGGACAUAGAAGGCUCUAUCAUAUUGUUGGUCACGUCUCAUCGCUUUCUUAUUAACCAUCAAAUUUAGCUCCAGCAAGAUGUCUUGCUUCGAUAGUCUUGAGCUGCCAUCCGAUGCAGUCGUGUUGUAGUCCCUUGUAUCAAAUGUUGGUUGUGAUCUUGUAGUCUUUGUGUACCAUUUGAGGAUAUACUUGUCUAGAAAUUUGUCAGGCUUUAGGUGGUCCAGUAUGUUCAUGAUGUGAAGGCAGAAGAGGCUUGCAUUUUUGUGAUGAAUGCAGAAUACAUAGUUUGUGAGCCAGCAAUGAGUUUCAUCUAUUUAAUAUGAUACUACUAGUUUAGGAAUUUAAUGAGCUUGUU
This 686-nucleotide long non-coding RNA is filed under the name Triticum aestivum (bread wheat). RNAcentral describes it as "long non-coding RNA (TAES_LNC022268)". Lineage: Eukaryota; Viridiplantae; Streptophyta; Magnoliopsida; Poales; Poaceae. The record is from RNAcentral.